GGGGAGGGGCGGGAGGGGGCGGCCGGUGCUGCCCCACCGACCGGCACCGCCCCCCCCCGGUGAUUCAGCACCCGGUCACUCGGGUGCCACCGCGGACCCGCCCCCGCCGCCGACUUCGGACCCGGCGGCUGCGCUCGCUGCGAAAAUAAAACCCAGCAACCUCCCCCUAAAUAUCGCAGUUCCUCGGAUAUCGGUUACCGGGGCGAUCCAUCCCCCCCGCGACGGGCGUUUUUCGUAGAAAGAAAAAUGUUUACCCGGCCGGAAUUAAGCCGGUCUUUUCGGCCAGUUCUAACAAAUCCUAACGGGCUGAGUUUAUUUGGAUUCGGGUCGGUGCAAGCUGCUGGGCGCAGUGGUAACUGAUGAUGAGUCCCCUGCAGAGACGAAGCUAAUCAUCUGCCAAAACUCAAAACCCUGGAGUCGUUUCAAGAAAGUAAAAAUGAUGUUUCAAACCACUACUCGAAACCCCCCAGAACAACCAAAACAAAGCAGCUACCAGCACGGAAGCACCCAGGCAACGAGAUGGGACAGGGGCAGCGCUGCAAACAAAGAGCAGGGAUGGGUACGACCAAGAACUGCAGAUACAGCUGCCGUUCGUUGGCUUCCAGUUGCAACUCAGAACAUCUCUGACGUGUCACCUGCAAACAAUUUUUCAGGGAGUUUUAAUUAUCUGGAAGAUCUAAAUAUCUUAACAGUGAAUUAAAAUUUAUUUGGGCUGAAGACAGAGAUGACACAUGCUGACACGUUUAAAGACCCCAGUGUUAACUCUACUUCAUUAACAACAUUAAAUAGUCAUCAGACAGUCAGUCCUGUGCUCAUAGAGAAAAUAUUACAAAUGUGAAGAGAAUGAAGAACAUAAAUUCCACCUUUAAUCAAAAACCCGAAGCAGGGAAUCUGCUUUUAAACAAUUUUGGCAGCAAAAAUAUUUUACUACAAGAAAAUGAGACCAAACCCUGAGAACUGGGACAGCCAUCUUUUCUUGUCAGACAGCCAAACCUGAAGCCUCUGCUGCCCGUUGAUAAAUGGCAAGGAUUCCCUUUCCUCCCCCAUCCUCCCCUACGAGCAGUUGCUGACUGCGCAGCCCAGGAAUACCGACAAUAAACCACUUUCCAGAAUUCUGUGGGGAACAUUAAGAGCAUUGUCAUUUUGAAGGCAGUAAAACUGAGGACUGAAAAUCUUAAUUCAAUCCUUUACCAGGUUAAAAUAUUGUCAUACCCCUUUUUUCAUUUGGACAGUUUUAAUCUCGCCAUAUAUCAAGAUAAAUUUCAGUAAACUAAUAUUGAAAGUACCUAAACCCCAGUUUUCCUAAGAGCCAGCCAACUCUGUACAUACAAUCGCUGGGAGUUCACGAACGUAGAGUCUCUUGAUAUACUUUUUAAGCAACGUAGGUGCAUCUCAACACAUUUUUAUGCACGAUAUGAAACCGUGACUCCCUGUUGUUAUCUGAUAUUUAUGAUAUAAACCAACAAGCCUGUAUGAGAGUCUCAAAGCAAGACGACAGCAGCCCAGGUGCUAUUUUGUUGUAGGUAGAGGAAUUUUAAAUCAGAAGUUGAUUUGAUACUUGGUGUUACUCUGCAAUACAAUGGCCAGUAUGUGACCCCUCAGCUGAAGCAUUGGCUGUUUGGCUGAGGCAAUCCUGGCAUGAUCCAGCAGUGACUCAGGCAGUAAAUAAGAUUGGGCAGGACCUCAGGAGGUUAGGAAGUCCAACCUCCUGCUCAAAGCAGGGUCAGCUGUGACACCAGAGCAGGUUGCUCAGGCCUUUAUGCAGUCUACGUUUUUAUCUGAUAGUCACCCCUUCCUCUCUUGUGGCAAUUUUCCUUUCCCACCUACAAACAUGCAGUAGUCAACAGCACAGAAAUGUACAUCAGUCAAGGCCAGACCAACUCGCAGGAGCAGAAUACAUGAAUUAAAUCUUGAAAUAGAUGACGCUUUUUUCCCAGGCAGUUGGCAUUUUCUUUCUUUGUAACAGUGAAAACCUAUUUGUUGCCCUGUGGAGAAGAGAGGGUCUGGUUAAUGAAAAAAAAAAAAAAAAAUUAACAUCGGGAGACCUUGCCUGAAUGUGUCGAGAUGACCAAGGAGCCCAUUGCAGUAAAGAA
This is a non-coding RNA of Phalacrocorax carbo (great cormorant), 2093 nucleotides long. The record is from RefSeq and is a predicted model, not a curated record. NCBI's taxonomy places the organism in Eukaryota, Metazoa, Chordata, Aves, Suliformes, Phalacrocoracidae.